UCCUGGGAAGGAGCAUGCAUCCUGUCGGGGU
This 31-nucleotide non-coding RNA is filed under the name Rattus norvegicus (Norway rat). The record is from RNAcentral. Lineage: Eukaryota; Metazoa; Chordata; Mammalia; Rodentia; Muridae.